CGAAUUCGGAGCGUAAGUUCUAAAUGUAGGAGUAUGUAAUUAUGUAUAUAUAAGCAAGUAUAUUUUAAUUUGUAUUUUAAUCACUAAGUCUAGCCCUAGCUUAACCACUCAAUCUAACCUGCUUCACUUUCACAAUAGCACUCUCACCCUUGCGCUUACGUUGUCUAUUGUAUCUAUUGUCUUGCCCCAGCCCCAGGCUCCUAGUUUCAAUAGCAGGGUGUUUUGUGGGUCAGCUAUCAUUUUCCCUUCAGUCUGUCUGGUCACUGGUCACAGCUAGCAACAGCUUAUAACAGGUGUGGCAAACAUAGUUCCUGACGUUUGUGACGGUAACGGGCACAGUGCCAUACACUCGGGCCUUCUUCAGUUAUUGCCAAUAAACUGACAUCUACGAAAAAUAUUCGCCUUUGUGGUAUCUACAAAACCACUCCGGUUACAUUGGCGUCGUCGGCAGGAUGUAGAUGUUCAGAAGUAACAGUGAUGCAACCAGUGACAAGGGACAAUGAUGGACAUCAACUUUCCAUAGAUGGAAGGGAACCGUAAUGACCAAGUAAUGUAACACUACGGUACACAACCAGACACUUUGUUACACAUGAGUUUCGGCCUUGAGCUUACUACUUGGCUUGUAGAUAUUUGAGACUCUUGUAUUGUGCAAGUGAUAUUGAC
Long non-coding RNA from Haliotis rubra (blacklip abalone), 663 nucleotides. RefSeq lists it as uncharacterized. The transcript has 3 exons. The record is from RefSeq and is a predicted model, not a curated record. Lineage: Eukaryota; Metazoa; Mollusca; Gastropoda; Lepetellida; Haliotidae.